Molecule: ribosomal RNA, 785 nt
Filed under: uncultured bacterium
Lineage: Bacteria
Description: bacterial SSU rRNA
Rfam family: Bacterial small subunit ribosomal RNA
Source: RNAcentral
CCUGGGAACGGCAUCCGGAACUGUCAGGCUAGAGUGCAGGAGAGGAAGGUAGAAUUCCCGGUGUAGCGGUGAAAUGCGUAGAGAUCGGGAGGAAUACCAGUGGCGAAGGCGGCCUUCUGGACUGACACUGACACUGAGGUGCGAAAGCGUGGGUAGCAAACAGGAUUAGAUACCCUGGUAGUCCACGCCGUAAACGAUGUCGACCAGCCGUUGGGUGCCUAGCGCACUUUGUGGCGAAGUUAACGCGAUAAGUCGACCGCCUGGGGAGUACGGCCGCAAGGUUAAAACUCAAAUGAAUUGACGGGGGCCCGCACAAGCGGUGGAGCAUGUGGUUUAAUUCGAUGCAACGCGAAGAACCUUACCUACUCUUGACAUCCUGCGAACUUGUGAGAGAUCACUUGGUGCCUUCGGGAGCGCAGAGACAGGUGCUGCAUGGCUGUCGUCAGCUCGUGUUGUGAAAUGUUGGGUUAAGUCCCGUAACGAGCGCAACCCUUGUCCUUAUUUGCCAGCGGGUAAUGCCGGGAACUCUAAGGAGGCUGCCGGUGACAAACCGGAGGAAGGUGGGGACGACGUCAAGUCAUCAUGGCCCUUACGAGUAGGGCUACACACGUGCUACAAUGGCGCAUACAGAGGGCGGCCAACUUGCGAAAGUGAGCGAAUCCCAAAAAGUGCGUCGUAGUCCGGAUUGGAGUCUGCAACUCGACUCCAUGAAGUCGGAAUCGCUAGUAAUCGUGGAUCAGAAUGCCACGGUGAAUACGUUCCCGGGCCUUGUACACACCGCCCGU